RNAcentral lists this ribosomal RNA (600 nucleotides) under uncultured archaeon. Its description in RNAcentral is "bacterial SSU rRNA". It matches the Rfam family "Archaeal small subunit ribosomal RNA", at positions 81 to 687 of the family's 1478-position model. The record is from RNAcentral.
GCGCACUGCUCAGUAACACGUGGAUAACCUACCCUGAGGAGGGGGAUAACCCCGGGAAACUGGGGAUAAUACCUCAUAGGUUUCAGAUGCUGGAAUGCUCUGAAACCGAAAUGCUCCGGCGCCUCAGGAUGGAUCUGCGGCCGAUUAGGUUGUUGUUGGGGUAACGGCCCAACAAGCCCGUCAUCGGUACGGGUUGUGAGAGCAAGAGCCCGGAGAUGGAUUCUGAGACACCAAUCCAGGCCCUACGGGGCGCAGCAGGCGCGAAACCUUUACAAUGCGAGCAAUCGUGAUAAGGGAACCCCGAGUGCCUGAAACCAGGCUGUUCAGGUGUUUAAAAAGCACCUGGAGAAAGGGCCGGGCAAGACCGGUGCCAGCCGCCGCGGUAAUACCGGCGGCUCGAGUGGUGGCCGCUAUUAUUGGGCUUAAAGCGUUCGUAGCUGGGUUGUUAAGUCUCUUGGGAAAUCUCACGGCUCAACCGUGAGGCGACUAAGAGAUACUGGCAAUCUUGGGACCGGGAGAGGUGAGAGGUACUCCAGGGGUAGGAGUGAAAUCCUGUAAUCCUUGGGGGACCACCGGUGGCGAAGGCGUCUCACCAGAACG